RNAcentral lists this ribosomal RNA (421 nucleotides) under uncultured bacterium. Its description in RNAcentral is "bacterial SSU rRNA". It matches the Rfam family "Bacterial small subunit ribosomal RNA", at positions 917 to 1338 of the family's 1533-position model. The record is from RNAcentral.
GGGCCCGCACAAGCGGUGGAGUAUGUGGUUUAAUUCGAUGCAACGCGAAGAACCUUACCAGGGUUUGACAUCCUGCGAAUCUCUUGGAAACGAGAGAGUGCCUUCGGGAACGCAGUGACAGGUGGUGCAUGGCUGUCGUCAGCUCGUGUCGUGAGAUGUUGGGUUAAGUCCCGCAACGAGCGCCAACCCACGUCUUUAGUUGCCAGCAUUUAGUUGGGCACUCUAGAGAGACUGCCGGUGAUAAACCGGAGGAAGGUGUGGAUGACGUCAAGUCAUCAUGCCCCUUACAUCCUGGGCUACACACGUACUACAAUGCUACGGACAAAGAGCAGCAAGUUCGCGAGGACAAGCAAAUCUCAUAAACCGUGGCUCAGUUCAGAUCGUAGGCUGCAACUCGCCUACGUGAAGGAGGAAUCGCUAG